Molecule: long non-coding RNA, 1548 nt
Filed under: Androctonus crassicauda
Lineage: Eukaryota; Metazoa; Arthropoda; Arachnida; Scorpiones; Buthidae
Source: RNAcentral
AACAGACUUUUUUCCCCAUGUUUAAAUUAUAUUCUGCAAUUUCUAUUGAAUUUUUCAAGUGUGGAACAAAUCUUAUAGACAUGAUAAUAAGUUUAGAAGUUUGAAAGAACUAUAGGCGCUUAGGUUUUUUUGUGUGCGGGGAAUAAAAGGUCGCAACAAACUAAAUUACCGAUUAAAAUUGCUUUUCGGAUAAUAUAAUUGAAGCAGAUGCAACUGCUAUCAUUCAUAUGUUAAUUCGGAAACUCAAAUUAAUGUUUCCUUUAUUCAUAAAUGCAUUUGGCUAAAGGGAAUCGCCGUGGAGUUGCCACAACUCUUCCUUCAGAUGAUGCCGAAAUAUGUUAAAGAAUUAAAAAAAAAAAUCGCAUCUCGAACGACGGAAAUCAUCCGAUGGAUCGUUAAUAGAGACAAAAAUCUACCUGCUGUUACGAGCCUUUUGACCGUGGUGUUCGGCCAUUCGAAAAAGGCAAAACAACAACUCCAUCCUCUUCGAAAAGAUCAUAAAUUAUCAACAAAAAACUUUAUUAUGCUAAAGGGCCAACUUCACACGAAACAGGUUGGUCAGGUGGGCGAGAGAUAAGGAGAACAAUAUUCAAAUUAAUAUCAAGUUCUGGUUACAUUGUAGAAACUCCGUAAAUGGCUUAAAAGUUUUAAAAAUAUUUUGUUUCGAAGCAAUAUUAUCGAAGGAUGGAUGUGCCAUGUUUACUUUGCCGUAUUGCUAAGAAGAACCGGGAGUUGUUCCACUUUUCUACGUUCGCUAAGUUCCACUUAGCCGACACAAUAUUUGGUAUCUUAUCAUGUCGGUGGAGAUAACUUCUAACUGGUUUAAAAGCCACACAAGAUCUUUAAAAACCUGAAAAUUCUGAAAGAUAUUACUCCCAAAAAAAAGGAAACUCGAGUCAUCUCUCUGCAUGUAGUAGGUGUUUAAUCUCUCGUGAUGCGGACGUUCUCAAUUGCAUAAUUUAAAUAAUAAUAAAGUUUCCAGUUUUUAAAUGGAAAUUUUAAUCUCACUUUGUAUCAAAAAAAAUUUUUUUUGCAAUCUUUAGACGGCCAAACGCUCUUUGUAGUGUCUCCGGUCCAAUGAAAAAUGAAAAUGGAUGCAAAUUUGUUUUAUCCGGUAGUUUCCUCCAGGCAAUCGUUAAAUCGACGGUGUCUCCAUCUAUCGAACCAGCCAACAAAAAAUUUAUCAAGAAGAGGAAGAAAGGAAGAGAAAAAAAAAAAGAUUAAUAGUGCCGCGCGUAACGUUUCGAGAUAUCUGCGUUGUUUUAUUCACUUUCGGUUAACUACCGUGGGUCAUUAUAUUUAGGGAGGUAGAAAUAACGUCCCGUCCAUUGUUCGACCAUGCACGACAUCUGUCUCCCACCACACAUUGACCCUGUUUCUGUUGCGUCGUGCCUAGUUCUCCACCCCCGUUCUGCUAUUGUCUCCUUCAAUCCACCGUGGGAACCAUCUCCCACUCGCGGUAGCCUUUUUUUUUUAUUUCGAUUUAUUUAUUAUUAUUAUUAUUUUUUAAUUUGGCGUUACCGAAAACUGCAGGACAGAAUUUUGAGA